AGUGAACGCUGGCGGCGUGCUUAACACAUGCAAGUCGAACGAGAACGGAUUAUAGCUUGCUAUAAUUGUCAGCUAAGUGGCGCACGGGUGAGUAAUGUAUAGGUAAUAUGCCUUUUACUAAGGAAUAACAAAUGGAAACGUUUGCUAAUACCUUAUACUCCUUAUUAACCUAAGUUAAUAAGGGAAAGAUUUAUUGGUAAGAGAUUAGCCUGUAUUGUAUCAGUUAGUUGGUGGGGUAAUGGCUUACCAAGACUAUGACACAUAACUGGUUUGAGAGGAUGAUCAGUCACACUGGAACUGAGACACGGUCCAGACUCCUACGGGAGGCAGCAGUGGGGAAUAUUGCACAAUGGACGAAAGUCUGGUGCAGCAACGCCGCGUGGAGGAUGACACAUUUCGGUGCGUAAACUCCUUUUAUAUGAGAAGAUAAUGACGGUAUUAUAUGAAUAAGCACCGGCUAACUCCGUGCCAGCCGCCGCCGAAA
This 484-nucleotide ribosomal RNA is filed under the name uncultured bacterium. RNAcentral describes it as "partial 16S ribosomal RNA". It matches the Rfam family "Bacterial small subunit ribosomal RNA", at positions 29 to 523 of the family's 1533-position model. The record is from RNAcentral.